This is a long non-coding RNA of Melitaea cinxia (Glanville fritillary), 190 nucleotides long. RefSeq lists it as uncharacterized. The transcript has 3 exons. NCBI's taxonomy places the organism in Eukaryota, Metazoa, Arthropoda, Insecta, Lepidoptera, Nymphalidae. The record is from RefSeq and is a predicted model, not a curated record.
CGUUUUUUCUGAUUCACUUCUUAGUCUUUAUUCUUGCUCUUACGACUUGCACUCCCACAAAGCCUUACACAAAGCAAAGUUUUCUGCCCUAACUCAACGAUUCUCAUAACAUAAGCUAAGCUCCACUCAGAUAUUGGCAAAUCCUUCAGGGAGCCAAAGUAAAAGAAGAAGAAGAUGUAACAUACAAUAA